GAGGGAUUAGCUCAGUCGGCAGAGCGUCUGCCUUUUAAGCAGAAUGUCCUGGGUUCGAGCCCCAGAUCCCUCA
This 73-nucleotide transfer RNA is filed under the name bacterium. Its description in RNAcentral is "tRNA-Lys". It matches the Rfam family "tRNA". From Rfam's summary of the family: Transfer RNA (tRNA) molecules are approximately 80 nucleotides in length. Their secondary structure includes four short double-helical elements and three loops (D, anti-codon, and T loops). The record is from RNAcentral.